This 440-nucleotide ribosomal RNA is filed under the name uncultured bacterium. Its description in RNAcentral is "partial 16S ribosomal RNA". It matches the Rfam family "Bacterial small subunit ribosomal RNA", at positions 338 to 795 of the family's 1533-position model. The record is from RNAcentral.
CCUACGGGUGGCAGCAGUGGGGGAUAUUGCACAAUGGGGGAAACCCUGAUGCAGCGACGCCGCGUGUGGGAAGACGGUCCUCUGGAUUGUAAACCACUGUCCCCAGGGACGAAGAUGACGGUACCUGGGGAGGAAGCUCCGGCUAACUACGUGCCAGCAGCCGCGGCAAUACGUAGGGCGCGAGCGUUGUCCGGAAUUACUGGGGGGAAAGGGGGCGUAGGCGGGGAUGCAAGUUGGGUGUCAAAGCUAGCGGCUCAACUGGUAGUCGCACUCAAAACUGCAGCUCUUGAGUGAAGUAGAGGCAGGCGGAAUUCCUAGUGUAGCGGUGAAAUGCGUAGAUAUUAGGAGGAACACCAGUGGCGAAGGCGGCCUGCUGGGCUUUUACUGACGCUGAGGCUCGAAAGUGUGGGGAGCAAACAGGAUUAGAUACCCUUGUAGUC